UUUUCAUUUCUGAUUCUUGAUUUAUUAUUGUUUUGAUUUGCAUAACUUUAUUCUUGAAUUCAUUUCAGAAGACUGUUCUAUUAAAUUAUGAUGAUUAUGAGUAUUGCAAUCAGCUUUUUGGUUUCCCCUUCCAUCCACCCACCACCACCAUCACAUCCAGACAAUCAGAUAAAUAUCGAAUCAAUAGAGAGGAGAAAAAAAAGAAUCUUAACGUUAAAAUCCUUUAACAAAAUUCAUGGUAAAUUGCUUCUGUGCAUUUGGGAAAAUUACGGCAACAGACAAACAACAACAACAACGACAACGAAGAAAAAAGCUUUGGUAUCAUCAUUCUUUUUUUUAUGGCAAAAUUUUCCAAAGAAGUUCUAAUUCAUUGAAGUGAAACGCACAGUAAAUUGUAAGCAAACAAGAAAUACGAUGAAUUUUCAUUCUGCCCAUCUCAAACGGAUGGAAAAUUUUCUUUCUCUCUCUCUCUCUCUCUUGGUGAUUUGAGCUGAAUAAAAUGAGAACUGCUGUUACUGAUGCUAGUCAUCAGGUGAAACGAUUUGAUAUGAAAAGAAAAUAUGAAUACAUACAAAUAUUAUUGUUACUAGAUGAAAAAAAA
Molecule: non-coding RNA, 601 nt
Organism: Dermatophagoides farinae (American house dust mite)
Lineage: Eukaryota; Metazoa; Arthropoda; Arachnida; Sarcoptiformes; Pyroglyphidae
Source: RefSeq, a predicted model, not a curated record